Molecule: small nuclear RNA, 195 nt
Filed under: Macrophomina phaseolina MS6
Lineage: Eukaryota; Fungi; Ascomycota; Dothideomycetes; Botryosphaeriales; Botryosphaeriaceae
Description: U2 spliceosomal RNA
Rfam family: U2 spliceosomal RNA
About the family: U2 is a small nuclear RNA (snRNA) component of the spliceosome (involved in pre-mRNA splicing). Complementary binding between U2 snRNA (in an area lying towards the 5' end but 3' to hairpin I) and the branchpoint sequence (BPS) of the intron results the bulging out of an unpaired adenosine, on the BPS, which initiates a nucleophilic attack at the intronic 5' splice site, thus starting the first of two transesterification reactions that mediate splicing.
Source: Rfam by way of RNAcentral
CUCUCUUCGCGGAUUUCCGCUCUGAUCAAGAUGAAGUACUGUUCUUUUUUGGAUUAAUCUCUGAGAAGUUCCCUACGGGGUCCCAGUGAUUCACCCAGUUUUUGGAACCAGUGCUGGUGAGCUCUGAGCUCCGCUCAUCUCGCCAGCUCACAGUGUCGCUCGUAUUACACUGCCUCGGGCUGACGCGAACUUUCU